UGGGGAAUAUUGCACAAUGGGGGGAACCCUGAUGCAGCAACGCCGCGUGAGUGAAGAAGUAUCUCGGUAUGUAAAGCUCUAUCAGCAGGGAAGAAGCAGGACGGUACCUGACUAAGAAGCCCCGGCUAACUACGUGCCAGCAGCCGCGGUAAUACGUAGGGGGCAAGCGUUAUCCGGAUUUACUGGGUGUAAAGGGAGCGUAGACGGCCGAGCAAGUCUGAAGUGAAAGCCCGUGGCUCAACCGCGGAACUGCUUUGGAAACUGUUAGGCUGGAGUGCUGGAGAGGCAAGCGGAAUUCCUAGUGUAGCGGUGAAAUGCGUAGAUAUUAGGAGGAACACCAGUGGCGAAGGCGGCUUGCUGGACAGUGACUGACGUUGAGGCUCGAAAGCGUGGGGAGCAAACAGG
This 405-nucleotide ribosomal RNA is filed under the name uncultured bacterium. RNAcentral's name for it is "bacterial SSU rRNA". It matches the Rfam family "Bacterial small subunit ribosomal RNA", at positions 355 to 776 of the family's 1533-position model. The record is from RNAcentral.